This 66-nucleotide transfer RNA is filed under the name Quasilineus sinicus. RNAcentral describes it as "tRNA-Thr". The record is from RNAcentral. Lineage: Eukaryota; Metazoa; Nemertea; Pilidiophora; Heteronemertea; Lineidae.
GCAACUAAAGCUUUUAGAAGCAUUAGUUUUGUAAACUAAAAGAAGAACCAUCAAUUUCUAGUUGCU